Molecule: ribosomal RNA, 1661 nt
Filed under: Salmonella enterica subsp. enterica serovar Schwarzengrund
Lineage: Bacteria; Pseudomonadati; Pseudomonadota; Gammaproteobacteria; Enterobacterales; Enterobacteriaceae
Description: partial 23S ribosomal RNA
Rfam family: Bacterial large subunit ribosomal RNA
Source: RNAcentral
CUGGAGGUAUCAGAAGUGCGAAUGCUGACAUAAGUAACGAUAAAGCGGGUGAAAAGCCCGCUCGCCGGAAGACCAAGGGUUCCUGUCCAACGUUAAUCGGGGCAGGGUGAGUCGACCCCUAAGGCGAGGCCGAAAGGCGUAGUCGAUGGGAAACGGGUUAAUAUUCCCGUACUUGGUGUUACUGCGAAGGGGGGACGGAGAAGGCUAUGUUGGCCGGGCGACGGUUGUCCCGGUUUAAGCGUGUAGGUGUGUGUUCCAGGUAAAUCCGGUUCACUUUAACACUGAGGCGUGAUGACGAGGCACUACGGUGCUGAAGCAACAAAUGCCCUGCUUCCAGGAAAAGCCUCUAAGCAUCAGGUAACAUCAAAUCGUACCCCAAACCGACACAGGUGGUCAGGUAGAGAAUACCAAGGCGCUUGAGAGAACUCGGGUGAAGGAACUAGGCAAAAUGGUGCCGUAACUUCGGGAGAAGGCACGCUGACACGUAGGUGAAGUGAUUUACUCAUGGAGCUGAAGUCAGUCGAAGAUACCAGCUGGCUGCAACUGUUUAUUAAAAACACAGCACUGUGCAAACACGAAAGUGGACGUAUACGGUGUGACGCCUGCCCGGUGCCGGAAGGUUAAUUGAUGGGGUCAGCGCAAGCGAAGCUCCUGAUCGAAGCCCCGGUAAACGGCGGCCGUAACUAUAACGGUCCUAAGGUAGCGAAAUUCCUUGUCGGGUAAGUUCCGACCUGCACGAAUGGCGUAAUGAUGGCCAGGCUGUCUCCACCCGAGACUCAGUGAAAUUGAACUCGCUGUGAAGAUGCAGUGUACCCGCGGCAAGACGGAAAGACCCCGUGAACCUUUACUAUAGCUUGACACUGAACAUUGAGCCUUGAUGUGUAGGAUAGGUGGGAGGCUUUGAAGUGUGGACGCCAGUCUGCAUGGAGCCGACCUUGAAAUACCACCCUUUAAUGUUUGAUGUUCUAACGUGGACCCGUGAUCCGGGUUGCGGACAGUGUCUGGUGGGUAGUUUGACUGGGGCGGUCUCCUCCUAAAGAGUAACGGAGGAGCACGAAGGUUGGCUAAUCCUGGUCGGACAUCAGGAGGUUAGUGCAAUGGCAUAAGCCAGCUUGACUGCGAGCGUGACGGCGCGAGCAGGUGCGAAAGCAGGUCAUAGUGAUCCGGUGGUUCUGAAUGGAAGGGCCAUCGCUCAACGGAUAAAAGGUACUCCGGGGAUAACAGGCUGAUACCGCCCAAGAGUUCAUAUCGACGGCGGUGUUUGGCACCUCGAUGUCGGCUCAUCACAUCCUGGGGCUGAAGUAGGUCCCAAGGGUAUGGCUGUUCGCCAUUUAAAGUGGUACGCGAGCUGGGUUUAGAACGUCGUGAGACAGUUCGGUCCCUAUCUGCCGUGGGCGCUGGAGAACUGAGGGGGGCUGCUCCUAGUACGAGAGGACCGGAGUGGACGCAUCACUGGUGUUCGGGUUGUCAUGCCAAUGGCACUGCCCGGUAGCUAAAUGCGGAAGAGAUAAGUGCUGAAAGCAUCUAAGCACGAAACUUGCCCCGAGAUGAGUUCUCCCUGAGACUUAGAGUCUCCUGAAGGAACGUUGAAGACGACGACGUUGAUAGGCCGGGUGUGUAAGCGCAGCGAUGCGUUGAGCUAACCGGUACUAAUGAACCGU